Chinchilla lanigera (long-tailed chinchilla) is the source of this 490-nucleotide long non-coding RNA. RefSeq lists it as uncharacterized. Lineage: Eukaryota; Metazoa; Chordata; Mammalia; Rodentia; Chinchillidae. The record is from RefSeq and is a predicted model, not a curated record. The transcript is spliced from 3 exons.
GAAUCAUUAGCCGCAACUCCUCUGAGCUUUCGCGCGACUGGUCAGUUGCUAUGUAUAUCUACUUGCACUGUCUUCAUGAACUGUUACUCCUCUGCUAUGUACCAUCCUGCUUUGGAGCCGCUGAUUAUGGACUAUUUAACCUCUACAAACUGCUUUGCACUAUACUUCAGUGAACCGAACAAAAUACUGCAAAGUAUAGGGAAAAUGGCAGAAAGCAUGUUUUCCGAUAUCAAAAACUUUGAGACAACACCGCAGGUAUUUGAAAGAGAUCUUGAAAGGGGCAGCUAAAAUAUUUUCCAAAUAUAAAAAAUGCAUUUAGAAAGUCUACAACCUUUGCAGAGAAUCCUACCAGCCAGCCAUCAUAAAACCUACGAGGAGUUUCUAGCAUUGUAGCAGCUAUGAACGCGAGUUUUAGUAACAGGUUUUUACAGUUCCAUAAGAUGGAGAAAACCCUGUGUUUUCUUCUCCAAAUAAAGCCAAGUUUGAAAAG